RNAcentral lists this ribosomal RNA (246 nucleotides) under uncultured bacterium. RNAcentral's name for it is "partial 16S ribosomal RNA". It matches the Rfam family "Bacterial small subunit ribosomal RNA", at positions 15 to 252 of the family's 1533-position model. The record is from RNAcentral.
GAUCAUGGCUCAGGAUGAACGCUAGCUACAGGCUUAACACAUGCAAGUCGAGGGGCGGCGGGAUUGAAGCUUGCUUCAAUCGCCGGCGACCGGCGCACGGGUGAGUAACGCGUAUCCAACCUUCCGUACACUCAGGGAUAGCCUUUCGAAAGAAAGAUUAAUACCUGAUGGUAUCUUAAGCACACAUGUAAUUAAGAUUAAAGAUUUAUCGGUGUACGAUGGGGAUGCGUUCCAUUAGGUAGUAGG